GGUUAAGCGACUAAGCGUACACGGUGGAUGCCCUGGCAGUCAGAGGCGAUGAAGGACGUGCUAAUCUGCGAAAAGCGUCGGUAAGGUGAUAUGAACCGUUACAGCCGGCGAUGUCCGAAUGGGGAAACCCAGUGCAAUUCGUUGCACUAUCGUUAACUGAAUACAUAGGUUAACGAGGCGAACCGGGGGAACUGAAACAUCUAAGUACCCCGAGGAAAAGAAAUCAACCGAGAUUCCCCCAGUAGCGGCGAGCGAACGGGGAGCAGCCCAGAGUCUGAAUCAGCUUGUGUGUUAGUGGAACGGUCUGGAAAGUCCGACGGUACAGGGUGAUAGUCCCGUACACCAAAAUGCACAGGCUGUGAACUCGAAGAGUAGGGCGGGACACGUGGUAUCCUGUCUGAAUAUGGGGGGACCAUCCUCCAAGGCUAAAUACUCCUGACUGACCGAUAGUGAACCAGUACCGUGAGGGAAAGGCGAAAAGAACCCCGGCGAGGGGAGUGAAAAAGAACCUGAAACCGUGUACGUACAAGCAGUGGGAGCACCUUCGGGUGUGACUGCGUACCUUUUGUAUAAUGGGUCAGCGACUUAUAUUCUGUAGCAAGGUUAACCGUAUAGGGGAGCCGCAGGGAAACCGAGUCUUAACUGGGCGUUAAGUUGCAGGGUAUAGACCCGAAACCCGGUGAUCUAGCCAUGGGCAGGUUGAAGGUUGGGUAACACUAACUGGAGGACCGAACCGACUAAUGUUGAAAAAUUAGCGGAUGACUUGUGGCUGGGGGUGAAAGGCCAAUCAAACCGGGAGAUAGCUGGUUCUCCCCGAAAGCUAUUUAGGUAGCGCCUCGUGAAUUCAUCUUCGGGGGUAGAGCACUGUUUCGGCUAGGGGGUCAUCCCGACUUACCAACCCGAUGCAAACUACGAAUACCGAAGAAUGUUAUCACGGGAGACACACGGCGGGUGCUAACGUCCGUCGUGAAGAGGGAAACAACCCAGACCGCCAGCUAAGGUCCCAAAGUCACAGUUAAGUGGGAAACGAUGUGGGAAGGCACAGACAGCCAGGAUGUUGGCUUAGAAGCAGCCAUCAUUUAAAGAAAGCGUAAUAGCUCACUGGUCGAGUCGGCCUGCGCGGAAGAUGUAACGGGGCUAAACUGUGCACCGAAGCUGCGGCAGCGACACUAUGUGUUGUUGGGUAGGGGAGCGUUCUGUAAGCCUGCGAAGGUGGCCUGUGAGGGUUGCUGGAGGUAUCAGAAGUGCGAAUGCUGACAUAAGUAACGAUAAUGCGGGUGAAAAGCCCGCACGCCGGAAGACCAAGGGUUCCUGUCCAACGUUAAUCGGGGCAGGGUGAGUCGACCCCUAAGGCGAGGCCGAAAGGCGUAGUCGAUGGGAAACAGGUUAAUAUUCCUGUACUUGGUGUUACUGCGAAGGGGGGACGGAGAAGGCUAUGUUAGCCGGGCGACGGUUGUCCCGGUUUAAGCAUGUAGGCGGAGGUUCCAGGUAAAUCCGGUACCUUUUAACGCUGAGGUGUGAUGACGAGGCACUACGGUGCUGAAGUAACAAAUGCCCUGCUUCCAGGAAAAGCCUCUAAGCAUCAGGUAACAUUGAAUCGUACCCCAAACCGACACAGGUGGUCAGGUAGAGAAUACCAAGGCGCUUGAGAGAACUCGGGUGAAGGAACUAGGCAAAAUGGUGCCGUAACUUCGGGAGAAGGCACGCUGAUAUGUAGGUGAAGCCCCUGCGGGUGGAGCUGAAAUCAGUCGAAGAUACCAGCUGGCUGCAACUGUUUAUUAAAAACACAGCACUGUGCAAACACGAAAGUGGACGUAUACGGUGUGACGCCUGCCCGGUGCCGGAAGGUUAAUUGAUGGGGUUAUCCGUAAGGAGAAGCUCUUGAUCGAAGCCCCGGUAAACGGCGGCCGUAACUAUAACGGUCCUAAGGUAGCGAAAUUCCUUGUCGGGUAAGUUCCGACCUGCACGAAUGGCGUAAUGAUGGCCAGGCUGUCUCCACCCGAGACUCAGUGAAAUUGAACUCGCUGUGAAGAUGCAGUGUACCCGCGGCAAGACGGAAAGACCCCGUGAACCUUUACUAUAGCUUGACACUGAACAUUGAGCCUUGAUGUGUAGGAUAGGUGGGAGGCUUUGAAGCGUGGACGCCAGUCUGCGUGGAGCCAACCUUGAAAUACCACCCUUUAAUGUUUGAUGUUCUAACGUUGGCCCCUGACCGGGGUUGCGGACAGUGUCUGGUGGGUAGUUUGACUGGGGCGGUCUCCUCCCAAAGAGUAACGGAGGAGCACGAAGGUUAGCUAAUCCUGGUCGGACAUCAGGAGGUUAGUGCAAUGGCAUAAGCUAGCUUGACUGCGAGCGUGACGGCGCGAGCAGGUGCGAAAGCAGGUCAUAGUGAUCCGGUGGUUCUGAAUGGAAGGGCCAUCGCUCAACGGAUAAAAGGUACUCCGGGGAUAACAGGCUGAUACCGCCCAAGAGUUCAUAUCGACGGCGGUGUUUGGCACCUCGAUGUCGGCUCAUCACAUCCUGGGGCUGAAGUAGGUCCCAAGGGUAUGGCUGUUCGCCAUUUAAAGUGGUACGCGAGCUGGGUUUAGAACGUCGUGAGACAGUUCGGUCCCUAUCUGCCGUGGGCGCUGGAGAAUUGAGGGGGGCUGCUCCUAGUACGAGAGGACCGGAGUGGACGCAUCACUGGUGUUCGGGUUGUCAUGCCAAUGGCAUUGCCCGGUAGCUAAAUGCGGAAGAGAUAAGUGCUGAAAGCAUCUAAGCACGAAACUUGCCCCGAGAUGAGUUCUCCCUGAGACUUUAAGUCUCCUGAAGGAACGUUAAAGACGAUGACGUUGAUAGGUCGGGUGUGUAAGCGUAGCGAUACGUUGAGCUAACCGAUACUAAUGAACCGUGAGGCUUAACCUU
This 2904-nucleotide ribosomal RNA is filed under the name Klebsiella aerogenes. RNAcentral's name for it is "23S ribosomal RNA". It matches the Rfam family "Bacterial large subunit ribosomal RNA". The record is from RNAcentral. Lineage: Bacteria; Pseudomonadati; Pseudomonadota; Gammaproteobacteria; Enterobacterales; Enterobacteriaceae.